AAUCCCAACCUGCUUUAAGGUUCCGUACGGUUUCACCACCUGAGGAUUAAACGGGAAGUCGGUAAGGCGAAUGAUGCCAAAGCCGACGCUGCCCCCGCAACGGUAUAUUUAGUAAAGAAUCAUCUUGUGCCACUGUGUAUUUGCAUGGGAAGGUGAUGAUUCAGGCAAAGCCCCCAAAGGUUUCGCCACUGAUAAGCCCGGAGACCUGCCUUUAAGCCUAUUCGGUA
RNAcentral lists this non-coding RNA (227 nucleotides) under Methyloglobulus morosus KoM1. The record is from RNAcentral. Lineage: Bacteria; Pseudomonadati; Pseudomonadota; Gammaproteobacteria; Methylococcales; Methylococcaceae. RNAcentral also lists the same sequence under 1 other name.